AUUGCCUCAGUAACGGCGAGUGAAGCGGCAAAAGCUCAAAUUUGGAAUCCCCCCGGGGAGUUGUAAUUUGAAGAUUGCGUCUUGGAGGCGACCGUGUCUAUGUUCCUUGGAACAGGACGUCACAGAGGGUGAGAAUCCCGUGCGGCACGGCCCCCGGCUCCUUAUAAGGCGCUCUCGACGAGUCGAGUUGUUUGGGAAUGCAGCUCAAAGUGGGUGGUAAAUUCCAUCUAAAGCUAAAUACGGGCGAGAGACCGAUAGCGAACAAGUACAGUGAUGGAAAGAUGAAAAGCACUUUGAAAAGAGAGUGAAACAGCACGUGAAAUUGUUGAAAGGGAAGGGCAUGCCGUCAGAUUGUCAGUGUGGGUAAGAAGCGGGGUACAAAGACUGUGGAACGUGGCCCUCGGGUGUUAUAGCCGCAGUUCAUGCCCCGUCUCUUUCCGAGGCCUGCUUUGAGGACACCGACGUAAUGACGGUACGCCGCCCGUCUUGAAACACGGACCA
Molecule: ribosomal RNA, 501 nt
Filed under: uncultured Kodamaea
Lineage: Eukaryota; Fungi; Ascomycota; Pichiomycetes; Serinales; Metschnikowiaceae
Description: eukaryotic LSU rRNA
Rfam family: Eukaryotic large subunit ribosomal RNA
Source: RNAcentral